GACGAACGUUGGCGGCGUGCUUAACACAUGCAAGUCGAACGGAAAGGCCCUGCUUUUGUGGGGUGCUCGAGUGGCGAACGGGUGAGUAACACGUGAGUAACCUGCCCUUGACUUUGGGAUAACUUCAGGAAACUGGGGCUAAUACCAGAUAGGAGCUCCUGCUGCAUGGUGGGGGUUGGAAAGUUUCGGCGGUUGGGGAUGGACUCGCGGCUUAUCAGCUUGUUGGUGGGGUAGUGGCUUACCAAGGCUUUGACGGGUAGCCGGCCUGAGAGGGUGACCGGCCACAUUGGGACUGAGAUACGGCCCAGACUCCUACGGGAGGCAGCAGUGGGGAAUAUUGCACAAUGGGCGGAAGCCUGAUGCAGCAACGCCGCGUGCGGGAUGACGGCCUUCGGGUUGUAAACCGCUUUCGCCUGUGACGAAGCGUGAGUGACGGUAAUGGGUAAAGAAGCACCGGCUAACUACGUGCCAGCAGCCGCGGUGAUACGUAGGGUGCGAGCGUUGUCCGGAUUUAUUGGGCGUAAAGGGCUCGUAGGUGGUUGAUCGCGUCGGAAGUGUAAUCUUGGGGCUUAACCCUGAGCGUGCUUUCGAUACGGGUUGACUUGAGGAAGGUAGGGGAGAAUGGAAUUCCUGGUGGAGCGGUGGAAUGCGCAGAUAUCAGGAGGAACACCAGUGGCGAAGGCGGUUCUCUGGGCCUUUCCUGACGCUGAGGAGCGAAAGCGUGGGGAGCGAACAGGCUUAGAUACCCUGGUAGUCCACGCUGUAAACGGUGGGUACUAGGUGUGGGGUCCAUUCCACGGGUUCCGUGCCGUAGCUAACGCUUUAAGUACCCCGCCUGGGGAGUACGGCCGCAAGGCUAAAACUCAAAGGAAUUGACGGGGCCCCGCACAAGCGGCGGAGCAUGCGGAUUAAUUCGAUGCAACGCGUAGAACCUUACCUGGGUUUGACAUGGAUCGGGAGUGCUCAGAGAUGGGUGUGCCUCUUUUGGGGUCGGUUCACAGGUGGUGCAUGGCUGUCGUCAGCUCGUGUCGUGAGAUGUUGGGUUAAGUCCCGCAACGAGCGCAACCCUUGUUCACUGUUGCCAGCACGUUAUGGUGGGGACUCAGUGGAGACCGCCGGGGUCAACUCGGAGGAAGGUGGGGAUGACGUCAAGUCAUCAUGCCCCUUAUGUCCAGGGCUUCACGCAUGCUACAAUGGCUGGUACAGAGAGUGGCGAGCCUGUGAGGGUGAGCGAAUCUCGGAAAGCCGGUCUCAGUUCGGAUUGGGGUCUGCAACUCGACCUCAUGAAGUCGGAGUCGCUAGUAAUCGCAGAUCAGCAACGCUGCGGUGAAUACGUUCCCGGGGCU
Molecule: ribosomal RNA, 1346 nt
Filed under: uncultured bacterium
Lineage: Bacteria
Description: partial 16S ribosomal RNA
Rfam family: Bacterial small subunit ribosomal RNA
Source: RNAcentral